This 77-nucleotide transfer RNA is filed under the name Prauserella rugosa. RNAcentral describes it as "tRNA-Phe". It matches the Rfam family "tRNA". Rfam says of the family: Transfer RNA (tRNA) molecules are approximately 80 nucleotides in length. Their secondary structure includes four short double-helical elements and three loops (D, anti-codon, and T loops). Further hydrogen bonds mediate the characteristic L-shaped molecular structure. tRNAs have two regions of fundamental functional importance: the anti-codon, which is responsible for specific mRNA codon recognition, and the 3' end, to which the tRNAs corresponding amino acid is attached (by aminoacyl-tRNA synthetases). tRNAs cope with the degeneracy of the genetic code in two manners: having more than one tRNA (with a specific anti-codon) for a particular amino acid; and 'wobble' base-pairing, i.e. permitting non-standard base-pairing at the 3rd anti-codon position. Lineage: Bacteria; Bacillati; Actinomycetota; Actinomycetes; Pseudonocardiales; Pseudonocardiaceae. The record is from RNAcentral. RNAcentral also lists the same sequence under 5 other names.
GGCCAGGUAGCUCAGUUGGUACGAGCGUCCGCCUGAAAAGCGGAAGGUCGCCGGUUCGACCCCGGCCCUGGCCACCC